RNAcentral lists this transfer RNA (87 nucleotides) under Chloroflexota bacterium. RNAcentral's name for it is "tRNA-Leu". It matches the Rfam family "tRNA". From Rfam's summary of the family: Transfer RNA (tRNA) molecules are approximately 80 nucleotides in length. Lineage: Bacteria; Bacillati; Chloroflexota. The record is from RNAcentral.
GGGGGAGUGUCGGAAUUGGCAGACGAGCGUGACUUAGGAUCACGUGCCCGCGAGGGCGUAGGGGUUCGAGUCCCCUCUUCCCCACCA